RNAcentral lists this unclassified non-coding RNA (337 nucleotides) under soil metagenome. RNAcentral describes it as "partial contains 5.8S ribosomal RNA, internal transcribed spacer 2, and large subunit ribosomal RNA". The stretch from base 1 to 120 matches the Rfam family "5.8S ribosomal RNA", at positions 35 to 154 of the family's 154-position model. The record is from RNAcentral.
GAUGAAGAACGUAGCGAAAUGCGAUAAGUAGUGUGAAUUGCAGAAUUCAGUGAAUCAUCGAAUCUUUGAACGCACAUUGCGCCCCAUGGUAUUCCGUGGGGCAUGCCUGUUCGAGCGUCAUUUACCCCCUCAAGCUCCGCUUGGUGUUGGGCGUCUGUCCCGCUUCGCGCGCGGACUCGCCCCAAAGGUAUUGGCAGCGGUCGUGCCAGCUUCUCGCGCAGCACAUUGCGCUUCUCGAGGCACCGGUGGGCCCGCGUCCAUCAAGCUCACCCCCCCAGUUUGACCUCGGAUCAGGUAGGGAUACCCGCUGAACUUAAGCAUAUCAAUAAGCGUAGGA